AGUUGGCAGGCGGAGGGGGGCGGUGACAAGGGACAAAGUGCCUGGAUGUCUUUGCUUGUGGGGUGGCAGCGCUGUUCCCACCAAUAGCGACUGCUCGGGGCUGGCUUUGUAGUUAUUUUUGCAAGUUCUGCCCAGUCCCGGUCAUAUUUCCCUGAAAAGCAAAAGAGGCCGCUGCAAUUUAUUCCAAUGGGCGGUUUUUAAGAAGCUGGCAAUUUGAACCGGCUGGGUGUUAUUUAGUGCAAUAUGAAAUCAAAUGAUCCUAUUUCUCAAAUAACAGUGUCUGUGAGGAGAAGUGAAUCCUCUGAAAGGGUAAUUGUCUGCUGAUGGUGUUUCCCAUUAUCCCGAUCUUGGCCUAAAUGAUGUUCGGCAGCAGGGCGGAGACUCGGGGUGAAAUCAAUGCGCGCUGACUGCUGACUCGCGCUCCGGACGUGUAGCCAGGCCGCGCAGCCAGGCCGCGCCGCCGGCGUCCCCACGCAUCCAGGAACAAUGCCACCCGAACCAGACACAGGGGUCAGCUCGUGUCUAAGACAAGCAAGGACCGGGAGCAUAACAGAAGGAAGGAAUUUAAUAACGGACAGCGGUGGGACCCAGGAACCUCCGCCUGAGCCCUCUGGCAAGCCUGCACCAGGGAUGGAGCACUGCGCACAGGCAUAAUCCAGGAGACCUCAUGGAAGCACAAAUUCACUGGCUUUUGUGGAAAUCAUAGGCAUGCAAGAGCUGGGAGACAGCACCCAAUGUAGUACUAUCUGUAAUCCCAGCACUCAUGAAUCUGAAGCAGGAAGAUCACUACAAAUUCGAGC
This 800-nucleotide long non-coding RNA is filed under the name Heterocephalus glaber (naked mole-rat). RNAcentral describes it as "lncRNA (ENSHGLG00000044863.1)". The record is from RNAcentral. Lineage: Eukaryota; Metazoa; Chordata; Mammalia; Rodentia; Bathyergidae.